AUUUGGCUUUAGGGGUAUUCUAAAUUUUAGAAUUGAGACAGUCCCUUUGAACCUGUUUGGCUGACACCAGCGUAGGGAAAAGUAACACUAUUUCA
This 95-nucleotide non-coding RNA is filed under the name Leeuwenhoekiella marinoflava. Its description in RNAcentral is "TPP sequence". It matches the Rfam family "TPP riboswitch aptamer (THI element)". From Rfam's summary of the family: Vitamin B(1) in its active form thiamin pyrophosphate (TPP) is an essential coenzyme that is synthesised by coupling of pyrimidine and thiazole moieties in bacteria. The previously detected thiamin-regulatory element, thi box was extended, resulting in a new, highly conserved RNA secondary structure, the THI element, which is widely distributed in eubacteria and also occurs in some archaea. Analysis of operon structures identified a large number of new candidate thiamin-regulated genes, mostly transporters, in various prokaryotic organisms. Lineage: Bacteria; Pseudomonadati; Bacteroidota; Flavobacteriia; Flavobacteriales; Flavobacteriaceae. The record is from RNAcentral.